This 117-nucleotide ribosomal RNA is filed under the name Pteropus alecto (black flying fox). The record is from RNAcentral. Lineage: Eukaryota; Metazoa; Chordata; Mammalia; Chiroptera; Pteropodidae.
GUCUAUAGCCAUGCCACCCUGAACAAGCCCAAAUGUCUGAUCUUGGAAGCUAAGCAGGGUCAGGCCUGGUUAGUACGUGGAUGGGAGACCACCUAGGAAGAUCAGGUGCUGUAGGCA